This 95-nucleotide ribosomal RNA is filed under the name Microcystis aeruginosa Ma_OC_H_19870700_S124. Its description in RNAcentral is "partial 16S ribosomal RNA". It matches the Rfam family "Bacterial small subunit ribosomal RNA", at positions 1445 to 1533 of the family's 1533-position model. The record is from RNAcentral. Lineage: Bacteria; Bacillati; Cyanobacteriota; Cyanophyceae; Chroococcales; Microcystaceae.
GGAGGCAGCUAACCACGGUAGGGUCAGCGACUGGGGUGAAGUCGUAACAAGGUAGCCGUAGGGGAACCUGCGGCUGGAUCACCUCCUUUCUAAGG